GGUGAUUCUCUGGUGAUGCACCCUGGAAUCUGGCUUCCUCCUCUCUGGUUCUGGGUGUGUCACUCAAAAAUCACA
Myotis davidii is the source of this 75-nucleotide non-coding RNA. NCBI's taxonomy places the organism in Eukaryota, Metazoa, Chordata, Mammalia, Chiroptera, Vespertilionidae. The record is from Rfam.